AAAGGAAAAUAAAUUAGCCACUCAUGGUGUGUUUUUAACACAAAUGAGUUUUUGAAGAGUAGAAGAAAGAUGAAGAAAAAAUUACAAAAGUAGCAGAAGCUACUAUAUACGGUGUCAAGAAGAAGAGAGAAGAUGAUUCUACUUUGAUAACCACCCUCUUUAUAGAAAAGGAACCAAAUUUUCUUCUUUUGUUGAUUAGGAUAAUUUUUUUAUUAUUUUUUGGCAUAUCCCAAGCCUUCAAGAAUAUUUUGCCCUUUAUUUUUGGCCCCAUAUCUU
This 276-nucleotide long non-coding RNA is filed under the name Carica papaya (papaya). RNAcentral's name for it is "long non-coding RNA (CPAP_LNC013902)". The record is from RNAcentral. Lineage: Eukaryota; Viridiplantae; Streptophyta; Magnoliopsida; Brassicales; Caricaceae.